Rhinichthys klamathensis goyatoka is the source of this 770-nucleotide long non-coding RNA. RefSeq lists it as uncharacterized. NCBI's taxonomy places the organism in Eukaryota, Metazoa, Chordata, Actinopteri, Cypriniformes, Leuciscidae. The record is from RefSeq and is a predicted model, not a curated record. The transcript has 2 exons.
AAGGAAGAAUCUGACUGCAGGGAUAAAAUAAGCUCAUUCAGAUGUAUGUGAAAUUCACACACUGCAUUUCUAGAGUGGAAAGAUGAGUUCACACCAGCCUAACCUGUGGUCAGAGGCAGGACUGUGUGAAGAGCUCAACUCAAAGGAUCUGUUCCUGGAAGCGACGUGUUCACUUUCAACAAUCGCCAACAACAAAGUGCAUUUGUGGGGGCUGCAAUGCACCUAAUCGCUUGUGUAAAAAGUUUGGAUAUACCAAGUGGUAAGCCUGAAACAUUCCCAGAAAGUUUUUUGUUGUUAUCAUUAUUAGAGGUAUAUUCAGUAACAGGCCCACAAAGAAUGUGUGCAGAGAUUUCUUUAGAUUUCAAACACUCCUCAUUCAAACCACUUUUAUUUUACAAUUUAACUCAUUUGUUGAUUCUUUCAGCUACCAACAAAGUUUAUAGUACUCUCAGCUCCAUUUACAUCAGCUUUCCCUGCAAAAUCAGUGCAGAAAAAUGCAAAAAGUCUGCAUAUCCUGUCUGGGACUAGGCAAUUAGAUUCUUUUUACUGGUAGUUAUUAAAUACAUAUAAAUGUUCAUGUCAGUGGUACUUUUAUUUUUGUGGAGGACAGAAAAGAAACAAAAAAAAAGUCCAAAUGAAAUAAGGUCGAGCAUAGUACUUGUAUAACUUUAUUCAUUGUUGUGCUUUAACCUUGGGUAAUUUCCUUUCAAAAUGUCAAUUUAAAUGGAACAAAAAAAAUUGUAUGCAAAUGGGGAAUGAAGAAAAAACAA